Molecule: ribosomal RNA, 253 nt
Filed under: uncultured bacterium
Lineage: Bacteria
Description: partial 16S ribosomal RNA
Rfam family: Bacterial small subunit ribosomal RNA
Source: RNAcentral
UACGAAGGGGGCGAGCGUUGUUCGGAUUUACUGGGCGUAAAGGGCGCGCAGGCGGCUUGUUUUGUCAGGCGUGAAAUCCCCGGGCUCAACCUGGGAAUGGCAUUUGGGACUGCAAGGCUCGAGUGCGGCAGAGGAGACUGGAAUUCCUGGUGUAGCAGUGAAAUGCGUAGAUAUCAGGAAGAACACCCGUGGCGAAAGCGGCUCUCUGGAACGGUACUGACGCUGAGACGCGAAAGCGUGGGGAGCGAACAGG